This 405-nucleotide long non-coding RNA is filed under the name Carica papaya (papaya). Its description in RNAcentral is "long non-coding RNA (CPAP_LNC013959)". Lineage: Eukaryota; Viridiplantae; Streptophyta; Magnoliopsida; Brassicales; Caricaceae. The record is from RNAcentral.
AGACAACACAAUAUCGGGUUCACCAUAAUACAAACCAUAAUAAAAGAAACCAUGAUUCAUGCAUACGAGACCAUAACAUAAUUACAUCAAACAUCAUGCUGCAUUUAAUACUGAAAAUUAGAUCAAACAAUAACAGACCAACACUUAUCAGACUCGGGUUCCAUUAGCAACCUCAAUCAAUUAUACAUCUAUAAAGUCUCAAAAUACCGUUUAAUUAUUUAUUAAGCUUUAAUACCAUGAUAGGAAAUAGGGUAAAGGGUCCUUACUUAUUUCGGGAUUUGAAUUCGACUCUACAGUGUGCCUACAGGCUGUCCCUAAUUUUCGUGAAUUUUUUCCAGAAAACUGAAACGCACUACCGGUACCUGCACGUGUCCCAAAAAAUUUCAAAUCAGACCUAGGGCCCCU